GCGGGUAUAGUGUUAAUGGUAGCAUAUGAGGUUUCCACCCUCCAGGUGCAGGUUCAAGUCCUGUUACUCGCUCCA
Molecule: transfer RNA, 75 nt
Filed under: Escherichia coli
Lineage: Bacteria; Pseudomonadati; Pseudomonadota; Gammaproteobacteria; Enterobacterales; Enterobacteriaceae
Also listed under: 26 other names
Description: tRNA-Gly
Rfam family: tRNA
About the family: Transfer RNA (tRNA) molecules are approximately 80 nucleotides in length.
Source: RNAcentral